Molecule: long non-coding RNA, 705 nt
Organism: Nomascus leucogenys (northern white-cheeked gibbon)
Lineage: Eukaryota; Metazoa; Chordata; Mammalia; Primates; Hylobatidae
Exons: 2
Source: RefSeq, a predicted model, not a curated record
UGAAAGUCACCUGAUGCUUAUGAUUUAAUGAUAAAAAUGUGUAGUCAAUUUGCAAUGAAGUUAAGACAUACAACCCUGGAAUAUUUUAACUACAAAUUAUUGCAGAUACCUGAGGAACUUUGAAAGGUGAACGACCCGAAGUACUGAAAUGUUCUCAGCAUGAAUUAAGUAAUUCAUCUGUAAAGUGGUCUGAAGAUAGAGGCAAUAGAAUUUCCAGUAAUAACAAAUGAUCAGAGAUGGAUUUGGCCUGACACUCCAAGAAGUGGUGAAAUUGAGUCACUGCAGCAGCUGAGGCAGAGAGAGUUUCCUUCAGGAUUCACGGCCUAUUUCUCAGUUCUGGGAAAACAACUAUAACAACUCAACAGAGUGAAGAGAGAUAAAGAUGUUGGGAAUGACUGAUUUCAAACAAUCAAAACUGCUUUGGGGAUGAGGAUGAAGUUGGGACAUUACUGCCUUGUAUACCACAUACUAUAAUAUUUAUUAUGUCUAUUGUUUAUUGUAUGUGUCCUUCUUUAGAAUUUUAACUCCCCAAGGGCAAAGAUCCCUGACUGUUUUGUUUAUCAAUGUAUCCAAAAGGCCUAAAACAGAGCCUUGUACCUUAUACACACUCUGCAAAUAUUUGCUGAAUUGAAUAAAAGGCUGCCAAUCUAUAAACUAUGCUGCUUUCAAAUAAACUAAGACAAGGACAUUGAUAGCAUAUCCUCA